RNAcentral lists this ribosomal RNA (253 nucleotides) under uncultured bacterium. RNAcentral's name for it is "partial 16S ribosomal RNA". It matches the Rfam family "Bacterial small subunit ribosomal RNA", at positions 524 to 776 of the family's 1533-position model. The record is from RNAcentral.
UACGUAGGGUGCGAGCGUUAAUCGGAAUUACUGGGCGUAAAGCGUGCGCAGGCGGUUUUGUAAGUUUGUCGUGAAAGCCCCGGGCUCAACCUGGGAAUUGCGAUGAAGACUGCAAGGCUUGAAUCUGGCAGAGGGGGGUAGAAUUCCACGUGUAGCAGUGAAAUGCGUAGAGAUGUGGAGGAACACCGAUGGCGAAGGCAGCCCCCUGGGUCAAGACUGACGCUCAUGCACGAAAGCGUGGGGAGCAAACAGG